AGAAAUAGUGGGUAAUACCGGAUACGGUUACCGGGGCGGCAUGCCUGGUAAAGAAAGGAGCUAAGGCUCCGCCUUGAGAUGGGCCCGCGUCCCAUUAGCUAGUUGGUGAGGUAAGAGCCCACCAAGGCGAUGAUGGGUAGCCGGCCUGAGAGGGUGAACGGCCACAUUGGGACUGAGAUACGGCCCAAACUCCUACGGGAGGCAGCAGCUAAGAAUAUUCCGCAAUGGACGGAAGUCUGACGGAGCGGCGCCGCGUGGAUGAAGAAGGCCGAAAGGUUGUAAAAUUCUUUUACCGGCGAAGAAUAAGUACGGGAGGGAAUGCCCGUAUGAUGACGUUAGUUGGUGAAUAAGCCCCGGCUAAUUACGUGCCAGCAGCCGCGGUAACACGUAAGGGGCGAGCGUUGUUCGGAAUUAUUGGGCGUAAAGGGCGCGUAGGCGGUUAUGUAAGUCUGGUGUGAAAUGUCGGAGCUUAACUCCGGCCCUGCAUUAGAAACUGUGUAACUAGAGUCAUGGAGGGGUAGUUGGAAUUCCGAGUGUAGGGGUGAAAUCUGUAGAUAUUCGGAAGAACACCGGUGGCGAAGGCGAACUACUAGCCAAUGACUGACGCUGAGGCGCGAAAGUCGG
RNAcentral lists this ribosomal RNA (624 nucleotides) under uncultured spirochete. RNAcentral describes it as "bacterial SSU rRNA". It matches the Rfam family "Bacterial small subunit ribosomal RNA", at positions 152 to 763 of the family's 1533-position model. Lineage: Bacteria; Pseudomonadati; Spirochaetota; Spirochaetia; Spirochaetales. The record is from RNAcentral.